UCCCUGGUGGCUUAGACAGUAAAGAAUCUGCCUGUAAUGCAGGAGACCUGGGUUGGAUUCCUGGGUUGGGAA
Bos taurus (domestic cattle) is the source of this 72-nucleotide non-coding RNA. The record is from Rfam. NCBI's taxonomy places the organism in Eukaryota, Metazoa, Chordata, Mammalia, Artiodactyla, Bovidae.